CAGCCGCCGCGGUAAUACGGAGGGUGCAAGCGUUAAUCGGAAUUACUGGGCGUAAAGCGCACGCAGGCGGUUUGUUAAGUCAGAUGUGAAAUCCCCGAGCUUAACUUGGGAACUGCAUUUGAAACUGGCAAGCUAGAGUCUUGUAGAGGGGGGUAGAAUUCCAGGUGUAGCGGUGAAAUGCGUAGAGAUCUGAAGGAAUACCGGUGGCGAAGGCGGCCCCCUGGACAAAGACUGACGCUCAGGUGCGAAAGCGUGGGGAGCAAACAGGAUUAGAUACCCCUGUAGUCCCUGUCUCUUAUAC
Molecule: ribosomal RNA, 301 nt
Filed under: uncultured bacterium
Lineage: Bacteria
Description: partial 16S ribosomal RNA
Rfam family: Bacterial small subunit ribosomal RNA
Source: RNAcentral